Molecule: ribosomal RNA, 415 nt
Filed under: uncultured cyanobacterium
Lineage: Bacteria; Bacillati; Cyanobacteriota
Description: bacterial SSU rRNA
Rfam family: Bacterial small subunit ribosomal RNA
Source: RNAcentral
GCAACGCCGCGUGAGGGAUGAAGGCCUCUGGGCUGUAAACCUCUUUUAUCAAGGAAGAAGAUCUGACGGUACUUGAUGAAUAAGCCACGGCUAAUUCCGUGCCAGCAGCCGCGGUAAUACGGGAGUGGCAAGCGUUAUCCGGAAUUAUUGGGCGUAAAGCGUCCGCAGGCGGCCCUUCAAGUCUGCUGUUAAAAAGUGGAGCUUAACUCCAUCAUGGCAGUGGAAACUGAGGGGCUUGAGUGUGGUAGGGGCAGAGGGAAUUCCCGGUGUAGCGGUGAAAUGCGUAGAUAUCGGGAAGAACACCACUGGCGAAGGCGCUCUGCUGGGCCAUCACUGACGCUCAUGGACGAAAGCCAGGGGAGCGAAAGGGAUUAGAUACCCCUGUAGUCCUGGCCGUAAACGAUGAACACUAGGU